CUUCGGAAGAAGUGUGGCUCACGCUGAUAAGGAUGUGAGCGGCAGAAAGCAGGCCCAGGCGACUGUUUAUCAAAAACACAGCCAUCUGCGAACCAGUAAUGGGACGUAUAGGUGGUGACACCUGCCCGGUACCGGAAGGUUAAGGGGAGGGGUUAGCAGCAAUGCGAAGCUCCGAACCGAAGCCCCGGCAAACGGCGGCCGUAACUAUAACGGUCCUAAGGUAGCGAAAUUCCUUGUCGGGUAAGUUCCGACCCGCACGAAUGGUGUAACGAAUCUGGACGCUGUCUCAACGCGAGACUCGGUGAAAUUUAUAUACCGGUAAAGAAGCCGGUUACCCAUAGUUAGACGGAAAGACCCCGUGAACCUUCACCGUAACUUAUCAUUGGUACUUGAUUUAUCAUGUGUAGAAUAGGUGGGAGACUAUGAAGCUUGGUCGUUAGAUUGAGUGGAGUCGGCAAGUGAAAUACCACCCUUGAUACAUCAGGUUUCUAACCUAUAGCCGUAAUCCGGCAUAGGGACAGUGAUAGGCAGGCGGUUUGACUGGGGCAGUCGCCUCCUAAACAGUAACGGAGGUGCGCGAAGGUCGCCUCAUGUCGGUUGGAAAUCGACACAGAGAGUGUAAAGGCACAAGGCGGCUUAACUGCGAGACGUACAUGUCGAGCAGAUACGAAAGUAGGUCUUAAUGAUCUUGCGGUAGCGAGUGGAAGCACCGUAACUUAACGGAUAAAAGGUACUCCGGGGAUAACAGGCUGAUAUUCCCCAAGAGUUCACAUCGACGGGAAUGUUUGGCACCUCGAUGUCGGCUCAUCGCAUCCUGGGGCUGAAGUAGGUCCCAAGGGUUUGGCUGUUCGCCAAUUAAAGCGGUACGUGAGCUGGGUUCAGAACGUCGCGAGACAGUUCGGUCCCUAUCUGCUAUGGGCGUUGGAUAUGUGAGAGGAGCUGUUUUUAGUACGAGAGGACCGAAAUGGACGAACCUCUGGUGUAUCAGUUGUCCUGCCAAGGGCAUGUGCUGAGUAGCUAAGUUCGGAAAGGAUAACCGCUGAAGGCAUCUAAGCGGGAAGCCUCCCUCAAGAUUACAUAUCCCUGAAUGUUUAACAUUCCUAAAGACUCCUUAUAGACUAUGAGGUUGAUAGGUUGGAGGUCUAAGUGUAGUAAUGCAUUGAGCCUACCAAUACUAAUAAGUCGUGUGGCUUGACCAU
RNAcentral lists this ribosomal RNA (1199 nucleotides) under human metagenome. Its description in RNAcentral is "bacterial LSU rRNA". It matches the Rfam family "Bacterial large subunit ribosomal RNA", at positions 1734 to 2925 of the family's 2925-position model. The record is from RNAcentral.